AACGAACGCUGGCGGCAUGCCUAACACAUGCAAGUCGAACGAGACCUUCGGGGCUAGUGGCGCACGGGUGCGUAACGCGUGGGAACCUGCCCUUAGGUUCGGAAUAACUCCCCGAAGGGGGUGCUAAUACCGGUUAAUGUCUUCGGACCAAAGAUUUAUCGCCUUUGGAUGGGCCCGCGUUUGAUUAGCUAGUUGGUAGGGUAAAAGCCUACCAAGGCUACGAUCCAUAGCUGGUCUGAGAGGAUGAUCAGCCACACUGGGACUGAGACACGGCCCAGACUCCGACGGGAGGCAGCAGUGGGGAAUAUUGGACGAUGGGCGAAAGCGUGAUCCAGCAAUGCCGCGUGAGUGGUGAAGGCCUUAGGGUUGUAAAGCUCUUUUACCCGGGAUGAUAAUGACAGUACCGGGAGAAUAAGCACCGGCUAACUCCGUG
This 433-nucleotide ribosomal RNA is filed under the name uncultured bacterium. RNAcentral's name for it is "partial 16S ribosomal RNA". It matches the Rfam family "Bacterial small subunit ribosomal RNA", at positions 29 to 507 of the family's 1533-position model. The record is from RNAcentral.